AUAAUGCAACAGCUAGCUAGUCAGUACCAUACCCAAAUCAACCCAGCCGCUCAGCGAAGUGAUAACUCUGGCAGCUCUCCCCAGAACCCCAGGAUUGUGAAGCAGAAUUUUCCAAGUCUGGCAGGUUCCUAGCGCUGUGAGAAGCUCCACAAAGGCAAAGAAAAGGGCUCCGUGGCAAAGUCUGAGAACUGCUGCUUGCUGUAUCCCCACAAAGACGCAUAAUGCACAUUACAUAGUAAAAACAAACAAACAAAUAAAAAAACCCACUGAGA
Long non-coding RNA from Panthera uncia (snow leopard), 272 nucleotides. RefSeq lists it as uncharacterized. The record is from RefSeq and is a predicted model, not a curated record. The transcript is spliced from 2 exons. Lineage: Eukaryota; Metazoa; Chordata; Mammalia; Carnivora; Felidae.